GGGAGUACGGCCGCAAGGCUAAAACUCAAAGGAAUUGACGGGGACCCGCACAAGCGGUGGAGCAUGUGGUUUAAUUCGAUGAUAACCGAAGAACCUCACCAGGGUUUGACAUGCAAGUGGUAGCGACCGGAAACGGAAGCGACCCGCAAGGGAGCUUGCACAGGUGUUGCAUGGCUGUCGUCAGUUCGUGGCGUGAGCUGUAUGGUUAAGUCCCAUAACGAACGCAACCCCUAUUCUGUGUUAGAAAUGUCACGGAAGACUGCCCGGGCAACCGGGAGGAAGGAGGGGACGACGUCAAGUCAGCAUGGCCUUUAUACCCUGGGCCACACACAUGCUACAAUGGCGACCACAACGGGUUGCAAGGCGGCAACGCUAAGCUAAUCCUCAAAAGUCGUCUCAGUUCGGAUUGGGGGCUGAAACUCGCCCCCAUGAAGUUGGAAUCGCUAGUAAUGGCCGGUCAGCUAUACGGCCGUGAAUACGUUCUCGGGUCUUGUACACACCGCCCGUCAAAUGGGAAAAGUUGGGGCUCGCUGAAGCCCGCCGCAAGGCGGACCAAGCGGGAACCAGCGAUUAACAUUAAGUCGUAACAAGGUAGCCGUAGGGGAAUCUGCGGCUGGAUCACCUCCUUUCUAAGGAGUA
RNAcentral lists this ribosomal RNA (639 nucleotides) under candidate division WWE3 bacterium RBG_16_52_45. RNAcentral describes it as "bacterial SSU rRNA". It matches the Rfam family "Bacterial small subunit ribosomal RNA", at positions 876 to 1533 of the family's 1533-position model. Lineage: Bacteria; candidate division WWE3. The record is from RNAcentral.